GUAGGGAAUCUUCCACAAUGGACGAAAGUCUGAUGGAGCAACGCCGCGUGAGUGAAGAAGGUUCUCGGAUCGUAAAACUCUGUUGUGAGGGAAGAACAAGUACCGGAGUAACUGCCGGUACCUUGACGGUACCUCAUUAGAAAGCCACGGCUAACUACGUGCCAGCAGCCGCGGUAAUACGUAGGUGGCAAGCGUUGUCCGGAAUCAUUGGGCGUAAAGCGCGCGCAGGCGGUCCCUUAAGUCUGAUGUGAAAGCCCACGGCUCAACCGUGGAGGGUCAUUGGAAACUGGGGGACUUGAGUGCAGAAGAGGAAAGCGGAAUUCCAAGUGUAGCGGUGAAAUGCGUAGAGAUUUGGAGGAACACCAGUGGCGAAGGCGGCUUUCUGGUCUGUAACUGACGCUGAGGCGCGAAAGCGUGGGGAGCAAACAGGAUUAGAAACCCCGGUAGUCC
This 450-nucleotide ribosomal RNA is filed under the name uncultured bacterium. Its description in RNAcentral is "partial 16S ribosomal RNA". It matches the Rfam family "Bacterial small subunit ribosomal RNA", at positions 354 to 796 of the family's 1533-position model. The record is from RNAcentral.